ACCCGCUGAACUUAAGCAGCGGAGGAAAAGAAACCAACAGGGAUUGCCCUAGUAACGGCGAGUGAAGCGGCAACAGCUCAAAUUUGAAAUCUGGCGUCUUUGGCGUCCGAGUUGUAAUUUGCAGAGGGCGCUUUGGCAUUGGCAGCGGUCCAAGUUCCUUGGAACAGGACGUCACAGAGGGUGAGAAUCCCGUACGUGGUCGCUAGCCUUUACCGUGUAAAGCCCCUUCGACGAGUCGAGUUGUUUGGGAAUGCAGCUCUAAAUGGGAGGUAAAUUUCUUCUAAAGCUAAAUACUGGCCAGAGACCGAUAGCGCACAAGUAGAGUGAUCGAAAGAUGAAAAGCACUUUGGAAAGAGAGUUAAAAAGCACGUGAAAUUGUUGAAAGGGAAGCGCUUGCAGCCAGACUUGCCUGUAGUUGCUCAUCCGGGUUUUUACCCGGUGCACUCUUCUAUAGGCAGGCCAGCAUCAGUUUGGGCGGUUGGAUAAAGGUCUCUGUCAUGUACCUCUCUUCGGGGAGAACUUAUAGGGGAGACGACAUGCAACCAGCCCGGACUGAGGUCCGCGCAUCUGCUAGGAUGCUGGCGUAAUGGCUGU
This 594-nucleotide ribosomal RNA is filed under the name uncultured fungus. RNAcentral's name for it is "eukaryotic LSU rRNA". It matches the Rfam family "Eukaryotic large subunit ribosomal RNA", at positions 23 to 641 of the family's 3401-position model. Lineage: Eukaryota; Fungi. The record is from RNAcentral.